GGUUAUGGCUCAGUGGUAGAGUGUGUGCCUAGCACAUGCGAGGUCCGGGGUUCGAUCCUCUGCACCA
This 67-nucleotide transfer RNA is filed under the name Marmota monax (woodchuck). RNAcentral's name for it is "tRNA.Ala". The record is from RNAcentral. Lineage: Eukaryota; Metazoa; Chordata; Mammalia; Rodentia; Sciuridae.